CGAGGCAGCAAUUACGCUUUGGGGAUAAAACGAGGCGCAGAGAGCCGGCUGGGGCAUUUCUCCCCGAGAUGGCGGGUCUGGGAUCUGCAGCCCGGCGGCCCGGAGUCCUUCUGCUCCUGCUGUGUAUCGCCCACCCCUCGCAGCCUGGAGGGGUCCCGGGGGCUGUUCCUGGUGGAGUUCCCGGAGGCGUCUAUUACCCAGGUGCUGGUCUCGGAGGUCUGGGAGGAGGAGCUCUGGGGCCUGGAGGCAAACCGCCCAAGCCAGGUAAGACCUGAGGCCCCAGGGGCAGG
Leptonychotes weddellii (Weddell seal) is the source of this 290-nucleotide non-coding RNA. NCBI's taxonomy places the organism in Eukaryota, Metazoa, Chordata, Mammalia, Carnivora, Phocidae. The record is from RefSeq and is a predicted model, not a curated record.